Long non-coding RNA from Canis lupus familiaris (dog), 2762 nucleotides. RefSeq lists it as uncharacterized. The record is from RefSeq and is a predicted model, not a curated record. The transcript has 3 exons. NCBI's taxonomy places the organism in Eukaryota, Metazoa, Chordata, Mammalia, Carnivora, Canidae.
AACCGUUUCAGGGUCUCAGAGGUACCUGGGCGCAGCCAGGGCUCGGCUGCUGCAGAGUCUGAGCCAUCGUCCCCCAUGUGCUUCAUGUCAUCAGGGUCGACCAGUGAGCUCUCAUCAUCUGAAAGAGGCAAGAGGCACACUGGUGGCAAGGAGGUGAAGCGAACACACAUCUCCCUUAAUUUAACCCAUUCCAGCCCUGCAGUUCUCCAUAGUAUUUCAUUCUACACAGUACUGUUUUGUCCAGGCCCCUUAUCUUAGAUGUAGGAAGAAAAUGGUCAAGUGAAUAAGGUACAAACCCCACAGGGAUUCCAAAGAUAGCAAAGGAGACUGUAGAAGUGUAUGCAGUCUUAAAAACUUAAAUUUAGCAAAGUUUUAGAAGUCAGUCAAACCUGUUAAUGCUUUAAGGAAAUGAAGUCCUUUUAGGAAAGCACUAGACAGGCAGACAAGAGACAAAAUUACUUCCAUUCUUUACCUAAUCUAGGAGGCUGGUGUCUAACUCCGUUAAAAGGUAGAUCCUUAAUUUUUCAUUCUUCAAUUGCAUGUACUCAACUUCUAGAUCUGUAUUUUACUUAUUAGAUAGAAUAGGAAAAUCUGUCUUCCUACCCUGUGAUGUCAUUUUUUUUUUUUAAAUUACAUCUCCCGGUCUGUGAAGGAUUAGCCCAGCAAAGGGCUAUGUGCAGUCAAUUUAAUGAGCAAUCAAUCCACAUCGUACCAAAAAGCUCCUGUUUGAAAGGACAAUGUUAAAAAGAAGUUUAGAAGUUGAAAACCUGUAAGAGAUUCUUCAAAUGUUCUAUUUUCUCUCAAUUUAAACAAACAUAUUCCUGUUCAAUAUUAAUUACCUCUACUGGUUCUAAAAGAAAUUGAAGAAUAGGUCAUCCUCGGUACAGAUAUGCUCCAUCAGUUUACCGUAUGUGCUGGCAUCUGGUGUGGUAUCACCACCAGUACAUCUGAUACCCUGACUGCUGGAGAUUGUAGGAGUAUUAGUUUUAAAUUAAUAAAGUGUUAAAGAUAGGAAAAUCACUAUUAGAAAAUUACUGUAUAUAGCUCAACAGACUAAAGGGAAUUUUCCCAAAAGAUCACUCUUUCAAGGGGCUCACUAGCUGCCUAAGGAACCAUCCUGCCUGCCUGUGCUCCGUGAGCACACUUCAACCUGCUGCUCACCCAAACAAGGGGAGACCAUGAAGCCCUAAUGAAAAUACCACACCCGGGAUCCCUGGGUGGCGCAGCGGUUUAGCGCCGGCCUUUGGCCCAGGGCGCAAUUCUGGAGACCCGGGAUCGAAUCCCACAUCGGGUUCCCGGUGCAUGGAGCCUGCUUCUCCCUCUGCCUAUGUCUCUGCCUCUCUCUCUCUCUGUGUGUGUGUGACUAUCAUAAAUAAAUAAAAAUUAAAAAAAAAAAAAAGAAAAUACCACACCCUUGGCUUCUAUUCUAAAAAGAAACCACCUGAGGCUAUUUUGCUUUGUGGUAUUGAAAGCCAAGCAAAAAAGUAAAAAAAAAAAAAAUCUUCAAAGUACUAUAAAUUUAUAAUAGAUGUGUUAUCUAAAGAACACCAAGUUUUCGAGUUAAUUUCGGAUAAUCCCCCACUUCAGUAAGGGAAGUGAGGUGCUGAUACUAACCAGCAUCUUUCCUGCUGAAAGCAAAGAAAGCUUGGAUAUAUUUAAUAAAAAUUCCAUCUGUUUAGAAUCCACUCGAAAAAGCAUACCCUCCGGUAGAAUCGGAUGCAAAGCUGAUCCAAAGUCCAGGUUUUCCUGGAUAGCGUCUAUGGUUCUAGGCCUUAUAACCCAAAGGGAUUUCAAAAUUCAUCCCAUCUCUUCUCCCCAGCCCCAGCCAUUAGUGAGAACUUCCCUGUAAACAGGUUUGAGUUCUUACAGAAAUAUGCUGUAGUCCACCAAGACUGGCUAUUUACCUGUAUUAACUGGUUUAUUCUGAAUUUCAUUCAGUCUUCGCAUCCGUUCCUCAUUUUUCAUUCUAAGCUGAUCAAUAUUUAUGCUGGACACCGAUUUUAAAGAGAGACCAUCUGGUGGCACAUUAGGAUGACUGUUAUCCUACAAUUAAAAACAGAAUUUCAGAAACAGUCAUUACUAAAACGUUAAUCAGUGAGCCUAAAAAUAUUCUUGCCCCUGAUAAAUGUACAGUGUGCAGAAUAAAAACAAAUGGAAAUCUGUAGCAUUUAUAUUCUAACCCCUGGUGUUUAUUUAUGCAGGCUCAGAUGAAGAUCCAGCACUUGUGAUGAUAAUAUUUGAAUGCAGCCAGGCUGGGUACAAGUGGGGAAUUAGAGUACCCAAAAGAAAGCAAGCUCUCUGAGGGCAGAGAUUUUUGUCCCUUUUGCUCACGCCAGUACCCCCAGCACCUUAGCAUCAUACCUGGCCCACAGUAGAUGACAAAUUUUGGAUAUGCAUUUUAAUAGGAAGAGAAUCAGAGUUCACCUUUAACUCCCUGAGCAAGAAAUCUGGCAUCUUACAUCACAGUAUAUUACAGAACUUUAACAUCUGUUAUUACAACCUCUUAUAUUAAAAAAUAUGGUAAAAUUCACUGUAAUCUUUCAUGAUCUUCCGAUGCAAAGUAUCCUGUUAGAAGAAUAUAAUGAGUUAGCUUUACCUUAAAAUGUUCACAUAGUAGAGAGAUUAAAUAUUGGUUUUUCUGACCUCAAAGAUUAUAAAGACCAGCUCUGCUAUUUACUGGCAAGUUUGACCUCGAUUUCAUCAUCUAUAUGAUGCAGAUGAUGUCUAGUCCUUCUACUUAAGUGAAGUUAUAUACUGUAAAG